GGCUCUGUGGCACAAUGGAUAGUGCAUUGGACUUCUAAUUCAAAGGUUGUGGGUUUGAGUCCCACCAGAGUCA
Molecule: transfer RNA, 73 nt
Filed under: Microcebus murinus (gray mouse lemur)
Lineage: Eukaryota; Metazoa; Chordata; Mammalia; Primates; Cheirogaleidae
Description: tRNA-Arg (TCT) (tRNA-Arg-TCT-5-1)
Rfam family: tRNA
About the family: Transfer RNA (tRNA) molecules are approximately 80 nucleotides in length. Their secondary structure includes four short double-helical elements and three loops (D, anti-codon, and T loops).
Source: RNAcentral